RNAcentral lists this ribosomal RNA (505 nucleotides) under uncultured bacterium. RNAcentral's name for it is "bacterial SSU rRNA". It matches the Rfam family "Bacterial small subunit ribosomal RNA", at positions 16 to 507 of the family's 1533-position model. The record is from RNAcentral.
AUCCUGGCUCAGGAUGAACGCUAGCUACAGGCUUAACACAUGCAAGGUCGAGGGGAAACGAUAUUGGAAGCUUGCUUCCGAUAGGCGUCGACCGGCGCACGGGUGAGUAACGCGUAUCCAACCUGCCCACCACUUGGGGAUAACCUUGCGAAAGUAAGACUAAUACCCAAUGAUAUCUCUAGAAGACAUCUGAAAGAGAUUAAAGAUUUAUCGGUGAUGGAUGGGGAUGCGUCUGAUUAGCUUGUUGGCGGGGUAACGGCCCACCAAGGCGACGAUCAGUAGGGGUUCUGAGAGGAAGGUCCCCCACAUUGGAACUGAGACACGGUCCAAACUCCUACGGGAGGCAGCAGUGAGGAAUAUUGGUCAAUGGACGAGAGUCUGAACCAGCCAAGUAGCGUGCAGGAUGACGGCCCUAUGGGUUGUAAACUGCUUUUAUAAGGGAAUAAAGUGAGAGUCGUGACUCUUUUUGCAUGUACCUUAUGAAUAAGGACCGGCUAAUUCCGUG